GAUCAUACGUGUGCGACAUCAAACCUGUGGGGGGGUCACACGUGUGCAAAGCCAUACUUGUGCAUGCAAGGUCAUACGUGUGCAAGUUCAUAUGUGUGUACGUGGGAUCAUACAUGUGCAGGAUCAUACGUGUGCGAGGUCAAACCUGUGUGUGUGGGGUCACACGUGUGCAAAGCCAUACGUGUGCGUGCAAGGUCAUACGUGUGCAAGACGGUAAGCGUGCACGCGAGGUCAUACAUGUGCGAGGUCACACAUGUGCGUGCAGGAUCAUACGUGUGCAAGAUCAUACGUGUGCGACGUCAAACCUGUGGGGGGGUCACACGUGUGCAAAGCCAUACGUGUGCGUGCAAGGUCAUACGUGUGCAAGGCNNNNNNNNNNNNNNNNNUCAUACAUGUGCGUGCAGGAUCAUACGUGUGCAAGAUCAUACGUGUGCGAGGUCAAACCUGUGGGGGGGAUCGCACGUGUGCAAAGCCAUACGUGUGCGUGCAAGGUCAUACGUGUGCAAGUUCAUAUGUGUGUACGCAGGAUCAUACGUGUGCAAGAUCAUACGUGUGCGAGGUCAAACCUGUGUGUGUGGGGUCACACGUGUGCGAAGCCAUACGUGUACAUGCAAGGUCAUACGUGUGCAAGGCGGUAAGCGUGCGCGUGAGGUCAUACAUGUGCGAGGUCACACAUGUGCGUGCAAGGCCAUACGUGUGCAAGUUCAUCCGUGCUCACGUGGGGUCCUACCUGUGGGUGGUGGUGGCUCUGCGUGUCGACACGCGUGCACACGUGUGCUUGCACACGCGUGUGCUGAUUCCGUGUGCGCCGGCAGUUCCGGGACCCGGUGCACGGAGAGUGGUUCGGUUACCUGGCCUACGAUGGCAGCGUCGCCCUCAGCAUCAAGGGGGGGCCGUACAAAGGCUGCUUCCACCUCCCGCGGGCGCUGCUGAUGUGUGAGGAGCUGCUGGAUGAGCUGCUGCCCCACUACCAGUAGAGGGCGCAGAAACCCCAAAAAGGGCAGAAAUUGCCCCAAAAUGGGUCCCAAAAUCCCAAAAGGGUCCCAAAAAACCCUAAAAGGACCCAAAAAAACCCAAAAAUGGCAGAAAUUGCCCCAAAAAGGACCCAAAAAAAGGCAAAAAGGACCCAAAAAAAGCCCAAAAUUGGCCCCAAAAGGGCCCACAAAAACCCCAAAAAGGGCAGAAAUUGCCCCAAAAUGGGCCCCCAAAAUCCCAAAAGGGCCCCCAAAAAACCCUAAAAGGGCCCCAAAAAACCCUAAAAUGGCAGAAAUUGCCCCAAAAAGGGCCCACAAAAACCCCAAAAAGGGCAGAAAUUGCCCCAAAAUGGGCCCCCAAAAUCCCAAAAGGGCCCCAAAAAAACCCUAAAAUUGCCCCAAAAAACCCUAAAAUGGCAGAAAUUGCCCCAAAAAGGGCCCCCCAAAAACCCCAAAAAGGGCCUCAAGAAACCCCAAAGGGCCCCAAAAACCCUAAAGAGAGAAAAAAAAACCCUAAAAGGACCAAAAUUGCCCCAAAAAGGACCCAA
This 1522-nucleotide long non-coding RNA is filed under the name Phasianus colchicus (ring-necked pheasant). RNAcentral's name for it is "lncRNA (ENSPCLG00000016692.1)". The record is from RNAcentral. Lineage: Eukaryota; Metazoa; Chordata; Aves; Galliformes; Phasianidae.